RNAcentral lists this ribosomal RNA (253 nucleotides) under uncultured bacterium. RNAcentral describes it as "partial 16S ribosomal RNA". It matches the Rfam family "Bacterial small subunit ribosomal RNA", at positions 524 to 776 of the family's 1533-position model. The record is from RNAcentral.
UACAGAGGUCCCAAGCGUUGUUCGGAUUCACUGGGCGUAAAGGGUGCGUAGGUGGUGGGGUAAGUCGGAUGUGAAAUCUCCGAGCUCAACUCGGAAACUGCAUUGGAAACUACCCUGCUAGAGGGUCGGAGGGGGGACUGGAAUUCUCGGUGUAGCGGUGAAAUGCGUAGAUAUCGAGAGGAACACCUGCGGCGAAGGCGGGUUGCUGGGCUGACACUGACGCUGAAGUGCGAAAGCUAGGGGAGCGAACGGG